AUAUAAGUUAUCGUUUAUUUGAUAGCACAUUACUACUUGGAUAACCGUGGUAAUUCUAGAGCUAAUACAUGCUAAAAAUCCCGACUUCGGAAGGGAUGUAUUUAUUAGAUUAAAAACCAAUGCCCUCUGGGCUCUCUGGUGAAUCAUGAUAACUGCUCGAAUCGCAGGGCCUCGUGCCGGCGAUGGUUCAUUCAAAUUUCUUCCCUAUCAACUUUCGAUGUUUGGGUAUUGGCCAAACAUGGUUACAACGGGUAACGGAGGGUUAGGGCUCGACCCCGGAGAAGGAGCCUGAGAGACGGCUACUACAUCCAAGGAAGGCAGCAGGCGCGCAAAUUACCCAAUCCCGACACGGGGAGGUAGUGACAAUAAAUACUGAUACAGGGCUCUUUCGGGUCUUGUAAUUGGAAUGAGUACAAUUUAAAUCCCUUAACGAGGAACAAUUGGAGGGCAAGUCUGGUGAACGCAGCCGCGGUAAUUCCAGCUCCAAUAGCGUAUAUUAAAGUUGUUGUGGUUAAAAAGCUCGUAGUUGAACCUUGGGCCUGGCUGGCCGGUCCGCCUCACCGCGUGUACUGGUCCGGCCGGGCCUUUCCCUCUGUGGAACCCCAUGCCCUUCACUGGGCGUGGCGGGGAAACAGGACUUUUACUUUGAAAAAAUUAGAGUGCUCCAGGCAGGCCUAUGCUCGAAUACAUUAGCAUGGAAUAAUAGAAUAGGACGUGCGGUUCUAUUUUGUUGGUUUCUAGGACCGCCGUAAUGAUUAAUAGGGACAGUCGGGGGCAUCAGUAUUCAAUUGUCAGAGGUGAAAUUCUUGGAUCUAUUGAAGACUAACUACUGCGAAAGCAUUUGCCAAGGAUGUUUUCAUUAAUCAGGAACGAAAGUUAGGGGAUCGAAGACGAUCAGAUACCGUCGUAGUCUUAACCAUAAACUAUGCCGACUAGGGAUCGGGCGAUGUUAUUUUUUGACUCGCUCGGCACCUUACGAGAAAUCAAAGUGCUUGGGC
This 998-nucleotide ribosomal RNA is filed under the name Pleurocordyceps nipponica. Its description in RNAcentral is "SSU rRNA". It matches the Rfam family "Eukaryotic small subunit ribosomal RNA", at positions 103 to 1112 of the family's 1831-position model. The record is from RNAcentral. Lineage: Eukaryota; Fungi; Ascomycota; Sordariomycetes; Hypocreales; Polycephalomycetaceae.